Molecule: ribosomal RNA, 253 nt
Filed under: uncultured bacterium
Lineage: Bacteria
Description: partial 16S ribosomal RNA
Rfam family: Bacterial small subunit ribosomal RNA
Source: RNAcentral
UACAGAGGUCUCAAGCGUUGUUCGGAUUCAUUGGGCGUAAAGGGUGCGUAGGCGGCGCGGUAAGUCGGGUGUGAAAUCUUGGAGCUUAACUCCAGAACUGCCUUUGAUACUGGCGAUCUCGAGUCCGGGAGAGGUGAGUGGAACUGCGAGUGUAGAGGUGAAAUUCGUAGAUAUUCGCAAGAACACCAGUGGCGAAGGCGGCUCACUGGCCCGGUACUGACGCUGAGGAGCGAAAGCGUGGGGAGCGAACAGG